Molecule: long non-coding RNA, 212 nt
Filed under: Elaeis guineensis (African oil palm)
Lineage: Eukaryota; Viridiplantae; Streptophyta; Magnoliopsida; Arecales; Arecaceae
Description: long non-coding RNA (EGUI_LNC067969)
Source: RNAcentral
GAUGCAAAUACCUCAGCUUUGCCUAAUUCACCUCGGUGUUUGGGUCGGCAACCAUCAGGAUAGCUCAUUGACUUGAGCUACCCUCGAUAACACACUAGUUUGAGGUAUUUCGAUAUGAAGAACCCCUAAUAUCACCCUAAUUCGAGGUAUUUGUAGUACCUCAGAUCUCUUGAUUUCCCUACUGGCUCCCUGGUUGAUACUUCGGUUGGCUC